CAACAGAGGCAUUACUGGUGGU
Molecule: non-coding RNA, 22 nt
Filed under: Arabidopsis thaliana (thale cress)
Lineage: Eukaryota; Viridiplantae; Streptophyta; Magnoliopsida; Brassicales; Brassicaceae
Source: RNAcentral